RNAcentral lists this long non-coding RNA (1275 nucleotides) under Anas zonorhyncha (Eastern spot-billed duck). RNAcentral describes it as "lncRNA (ENSAZOG00000015472.1)". Lineage: Eukaryota; Metazoa; Chordata; Aves; Anseriformes; Anatidae. The record is from RNAcentral.
UGUCCGUACCCCACGGGACCACAUUUUGGGGUGUAACCGUUUUCGGGUGACCCCAUUCCAACUGUACCCCCAAGAGGUCCCCUUUUCGGGGUGUCCCCUUUUUGGGGUGUCCCCAUUUUGGGGUGUCCCCCUUUCAGGGUGUCCCCUUUUUGGGGUGCCCCCAGCCUGUGCAUACCCCCAAGAGGGGUCCCCAAUUUUUGGGGUGCCCCUACUGUGUCUGUACCCCUUGGGGGACCCCAUUUUAGGGUCCCCUUUGUGCGUGUACCCCCAUGGGGACCCCAUUUUAGGGUGUCCCCUGUCCCUUUAUACCCCCAGGAGGCCCCAUUUUGGGGUCCCCAUUCNNNNNNNNNNCCCAGACACCCCCAAUUUUGGGUUUCCCCCAGCCCCUUCAUACCCCAAGGCUCAUCCCCACACUUUUGGGGUUUCCCCAGUCUCUUGGGGAAAAAAAAACAAUUUUUGGGGGUGAGGUCCCCAAAUUUUCGGGGACAAGUCCCCAAAUUUUCGGGGAGAAGUCCCCAAUUUUUCAAGGAGAAGCCCCCAAAUUUUCAGGGUGAGAUCCCCAAAUUUUCGGGAUGGGAUCCCCAAAUUUUUGGGGUGUCCCCCCCCCGUUUUAGGGCUGCAUGCGCAGGGCCCCGUCCAGCCUCACCACCUCCCCGUUGAUCAUCGGGUUUUCGGCCAGCGCCUGCACCAGGUGGGCGAAUUCCCCCGGGUGCCCCAAACGGGACGGGAAGGGCACCUGCUGCCCCAAAAAGUUCCGAACCCGUUCGGGCAAACCGGCCAGCAAUGGGGUGGAGAACAACCCUAAAAGGGACAAAAAAAAGGGGGUGAGUCGGUCACCCUAUACCCUUUUCCACCCUAAAAAUAAAGGGGGUGAAGCGUUUGCCCUAUAACUUUUCCCACCCCAAAAAAAAGGGGUUGAAGCAUUUGCCCUAUAACUUUUCCCACCCCAAAAAAAAGGGGUUGAAGCAUUUGCCCUAUAACUUUUUGACCCUAAAAAAAAAAAAGGGGGUGAAGCGUUUACCCUACAACUUCUUCCACCCCAAAAAAAAAGGGAGUGAAGUGUUUGCCCCCCAACUUUUUCCACCCUAAUAAAAAAAAGGGGGUGAAAAAAAAGGGGGUGAAGCAUUUACCCUACAACUUUUCCCACCCCAAAAAAAAGGGGGUGAAACGUUGACCCUACAACUUCUUCCACCCCAAAAAAAAGGGGGUGAAACGUUGACCCUAAAACUUCUUCCACCCCCAAAAAAAGGGGGUGAAACGUUGACCCUACAACUU